AUGGAAUAAAAAGAAGAAGCUUUUUGUGUGUAUGUGUGAGUGCUGCUGUUGUGUGUGUGGAAGCUAUUAUCGUCGUUGGGUGAGUCGGGCAGGUUGGGAUCGAGAGAGAACAGGGGAAGAUCGACGGCGGUGGUGGCCGAUGAGUUGAAGAAUCAGAGGAGGAGGGAGGCGGCGAUGGCGGCGGUCCGGCUGACUGCUGCUGUCGGCUGGAGCAGAGGGGGGCCAAGUCCGGCGGUAACCUCGCGGGAAAUCGUAGGAGAAAGAUGGUUUAGGGAUUUAGAGGGAGUGAUUUGUGGUUUUGGGGGUUUGGCGAAUUGAGAGGGAGAUACGAGGGAGACAGAGGGGUGGUACCGUGGCGGCGGCGGCGGCGGCCGGAGGACGGCGCUGCUGCCAUCCGCCGGAGGAGAGAAGAGGGCGAGAGGGAGGCUGCUGCGCAGCAGCAGCUGCGUGUGUGUGUGUGUGCGUGUGUUUUGUGUGUGUGUGAGUAUGUGUUUUAAAAAGAAGAAGAAAAGAGUUUGGGCCUUUUUAAUUGUUGGGCUUCAUGCAUAUAUUUGUUAGUGGGCUGCAUUUUUAUAACUUGGGCUAUGAAUUAUAUUUUUGGGCUGCAUUUUUUUUUUUUGCAUGAAGAAGGCCUCUUAUUAAAUUACUAAUCGAGCCAUGAAUUUAUUUAUUUGUGAAUCGAUUUUUUAGUAAAAGCCGAGCAAGGGUAUUAUUGAAACCCUUAGCCAAGAAAAAUGAUUUCAAGUUUUGUGUUGAAUUUUUGAAAACCCGGGUGUUGCGAAUCUAGUUAGAAAAUGAUGGCAAGUCAUGAAGGUUAAGCUUGAUUUUAGGACUAUGAGUUUAAGUUGAGAACUUAUCUUGUAGGUCUUACAGAAGAGGAUAUUUAGGCUCUUGUCCAGCUGAGUUAUUUGUUUGGAUUUUCUCCAAAUCAGGUGAGGCUUUAUUUACGAAAUGUAUGUUUGAGCUAAUAACCUCGAUUUUAUGUAAAGUUAAAGUUGAUGGUUCAUGCUUAAAAUGUUUUUGCUCUCUAUUGGUUAUUGCUUCUACCAGAACAUUGUUGGCUCCGCCAACCAGAACAUUGUUAGCUCUGCUAACCAGAAUUGUGUACGUACACCAGAACCUGUUGUCUCGAGAGAUCGGUGACAACCAGUUGUAGAUAGCAUGCCCAAUAGAUGGCCAGGAAAAUAUGAGCUCAGAUUAUUUUAGUAUGCAUGGAAUGACUCAUCUUUAAAAACAUUCUGUGUUAUACUGUUUAAGGCAUGAAUUAUCUUUUUCAGUAAAUGAUAUUUAAAAUGUUUUUAAAUGGCUCAACCCACUGAGUACACUAGUACUCAGCCCUGCAAUUGUUUUCAAAACCUUUUGCAGAUUGAGCAGCUGGUGGUGACGUGCGAAGCUGAGGAAAGGUUGUUGCUGUAAUAUUGAAGAACACUCUGUUUUACUUCCGCUGAAAUAAAUUCACUUAGUGAAUAUUAUCUGAUGCCUAACUAUAUUAAUACUUUUAUUCAUAUUUAUAAUAUGAAUUUCAUUCUCCAUCACUUUUCUAGCAAUUGUUUUCCCGCAUCUAUUAUAUGCUUUGUAUGAGACGUUGUCUUGGUCUCAGACCUUCGAACUUCCGAUCCUGAUAGGGAGAAUAAUUAUGUUAUAAUGUCGUACUUGCUCUCAUUUAAAUACGGCAUAAUGCCAACCCUCAGGGCGCAUUACAUAUUUUAUUCAAGUAAAGCUUAGUAAUCCUGUCACAUAGCCCAUUUCUUUUUCUCCCGGGAAAUCGGGGCUGUCACAAAUGGUAUCAGAGCAAAAGUUCUUGGCUCUGAGACCACUAUUUCAUUGAUGUUGUGUCUAGAAUAGCAUCUCUAGACUUCCAAGCUACACAGCAACCCUCAGCUCGCCUUCACACUGCUCUCAAGAAAGAAAGGUACGCGAUUUUAACAAAUUUUACUUAAAGUGCGUACAAGUAUUUAAAGUGGUUUUAAAAGCAAGAGUUCUUGUUAAAAGAAAAUAUUUCAGUUUGUUGUAUUAUUUUACAACUAGAUUCCCAGAAAGAUGUUAUUUUGAGCUUUAGCUUGAAUAACCAGAAAGUUUGUCAUAUUUUUAUGACCAGAAAGAUUGUCAUAUAUAUUUAUAUGACCAGAAAGUUCAGAAAGUUUGUCAUGUUUGUAUGACCAGAAAGAUUUGUCAUAUUCAUUUAUGUGACCAGAAAGUUGUCAUCUUUUUAUGACCAGUAUUUGAGCUUUGACUCCAGAAUCAGUUAUAUGUUACAGUCAGAACAGUCAGUGAAAUUGUCAUAAUGAUUUUACGUCUUUAUGACCAGCAACUAUUAGUAGGCAGACCUAGUUUUUGCCUCAGUUAUCAGUUCAUAAAGGUGUUAUUUUCUCGUAGUUAGAGAAAUACACUAGAUAGUAGCAUGAGAAUCUUAUGAGAUAGACUGCUAGCAUGAAGUGCUAUAGAAGAAUCAAGAAAAACUUAGAGUGCUCAGCGGAAGCACGUAUAACUUAGAAUGCUUGAAUGGAAAGAUAGAACAUAGAAAGACAUCACACGAAGAGAUAGAACAUAGAAGUACAGAAUUUAGAAAGAUAGAUCGCAAAAGACAAAGAGAAUAGAAGAAUAAGACAUAGAAGGAUGAGCUGAAGACAAACAAAACGACGAGUGAAUUGUUCCACGCAAUCUACAAGUAUGAAAGACUCAAGACUUCACAGUAACGUGUACCAAUCACUGAAGAAAUGUGGAAGAGAGCUACUGCAACUUCACCACAAGCAGACAAGAAUUUGAAGCUACGAGGAGGAAUGCCCCACAAUAUAAAUGGCUGGAGAAGAAGAAAGGGUACCUAACGCUGAAGAACCUGUGCUACAAGCCGCACAACGCAGAGCGAGUGAAAGGUUCCGCAAGCACAAUCCACCCACCUUCAAUGGAAUGGGAGAUCCAAUGGAUGCAGAAAAAUGGAUACGAUCCUUAGAGCGAAUCUUCGACUUCAUGGAUCUUACUGACAAAGAGCGUUUGACAUGUGCUAUCUUUCAACUAACAGACGAGGCUGACUAUUUGUGGGAGUCGGUGCAGAGGACGUUAUCGCCACAACAAUGGGAAGAAUACACGUGGGAUAAUUUCAAAGCAGAAUUGUACGAGAAGUAUAUUCCUCAGAGUUAUCGAAUCAAGAAAGAAGCACAAUUCUGGAAUCUUCGACAAGAGAAUAAAUCUGUCACUGAGUACGACAGACUAUUUGUCCAGUUAUCACGCUACGCUCCACACUUGGUGGAUACUGAGGAGAAAAGAUCUGAAAAGUUCAGGCGAGGUCUACGACACGAGAUAGGAAUGCCUUUGGCUAGUCAAGGAAUACUAACCUAUGCUCAAUCUUUAAGCAGAGCUCGAGAUAUUGAAGCUAUGAUGCCAGAAGAAAUGAAAGCACCUAUUCAAGCCCCUGACAAUAAGCGUGAGAACAACAAACGGAAAAGGGUAUGGCAAGGGAUUGAUCAGCAAAAGCAACAAAACCAACAAGAAGGGCCAAAUACCCCGCAACAAGUACCAUUUUGCCAGAAUUGCCACAAAAAUCAUUUCGGAGUUUGCAAAGCUGGAAGCGACGCUUGCUACAAGUGUGGAGAAAAGGGUCACUUUGCUCGACAAUGCCCAGGAACACCACUGGGAGGCCCUCAGCAUCAAAAUCAAAAUCAAGGAAGAAACCGAGGCAAAAGACCACUCCAAAUGGCCAGAGCUUAUGCCCUUAACCAGCAACAUACAGCUCAGGCAACUGAAGACUUGGAAGGUACGAUCAUAUAAUUGACGUACUAGAAUAAGUAGAGUUUGUUAUCUUUCAGGAUGAUAUUCUGAAUCAAGAAAGCAAGCAUAUUAUUCUAGUAGAAUCACUACAGACCAGAAUGAGUAUAUGAUAGCUAUAAGCUAAGAAUGACACUUAGAAGUUCGAAAUUUCGAGGACGAAAUUUUUUUAAGGGGGGAGGGUUGUAAUACCCCGAAUUUUUCCUCAAUAUGAUUUUAGAAGAAUGAUUGGAUUUAGAAUUAAGUCGAUUCGCACCCCGGAGAAAAUUUGUUUUAAUUCAGAUAAAUGGUUUGUUAAAAUUUUGAGGCAAAUUUGUUAAUGGGCCUUAUUUGAUUAUGAUGUGGGAUCAUUUAUCUUUUUAUAGUGGGCCGAAUUAUUAUUUUUGGAGGCCCAAAUCCAUUACUAUUACAGAUAUUUUCACAAACUUAUCAGAAUAUCAUCAAAAGCCAUUUUUUUUGUAUCUGAUGAUUAAUGGAAGGGGGUUCAUCCACGUUGCCAAUUUCCUUCUACAAAAUCCCCCAUCAAAGUAUGAAAUUUCUCACUCGAGCUUUUCACCGAGGAUCAGCAGUAGAGCUCUUCUCUUCCUCAAUCAUUCCAUAAGAAAAUUUCCAUCAUAUUCUUAUCAUCCACAGACAACAACCCACAAAAUCAACCAUCAUCAAGAAAUCGAAAGUCUAUUCCCAACCACAGUUCGUUAUAUUCUUUUUGCCACUCAAUCACAUCUCUUUGAUGAAGAACUCUAUUCAAUAGCAAAAUCCUUGAGAAAAGGUCUUACAGAAGAGGAUAUUUAGGCUCUUGUCCAGCUGAGUUAUUUGUUUGGAUUUUCUCCAAAUCAGAUUGAGCAGCUGGUGGUGACGUGCGAAGCUGAGGAAAGGUUGUUGCUGUAAUAUUGAAGAACACUCUGUUUUACUUCCGCUGAAAUAAAUUCACUUAGUGAAUAUUAUCUGAUGCCUAACUAUAUUAAUACUUUUAUUCAUAUUUAUAAUAUGAAUUUCAUUCUCCAUCA
RNA transcript from Salvia miltiorrhiza (redroot sage), 4769 nucleotides. RefSeq lists it as uncharacterized. The transcript is spliced from 3 exons. NCBI's taxonomy places the organism in Eukaryota, Viridiplantae, Streptophyta, Magnoliopsida, Lamiales, Lamiaceae. The record is from RefSeq and is a predicted model, not a curated record.